AGGUAUGAUGGUACAUGCUGGUAAUCCCA
This 29-nucleotide non-coding RNA is filed under the name Rattus norvegicus (Norway rat). The record is from RNAcentral. Lineage: Eukaryota; Metazoa; Chordata; Mammalia; Rodentia; Muridae.